Molecule: ribosomal RNA, 253 nt
Filed under: uncultured bacterium
Lineage: Bacteria
Description: partial 16S ribosomal RNA
Rfam family: Bacterial small subunit ribosomal RNA
Source: RNAcentral
GACAGAGGUGCCAAGCGUUAGGCGGAAUCACUGGGCUUAAAGCGUGUGUAGGCGGAUUUGUAAGUACCUUGUGAAAUCCCACGGCUCGACCGUGGAACUGCUCGGUAUACUGCUUAUCUUGAGCCACUUAGGGGCUACCGGAACAAAUGGUGGAGCGGUGAAAUGCGUAGAUAUCAUUUGGAACGCCAAUGGUGAAAACAGGUAGCUGGGAGUGUGCUGACGCUGAGACACGAAAGCCAGGGGAGCGAACGGG